CGGGCCGCAGCAGGCGCGAAAACUUUACAAUGCAGGAAACUGUGAUAAGGGAACCCCGAGUGCCCGUAUACGCGGGCUGUCCAGGUGUCUAAAAAGCAUCUGAAGAAAGGGCCGGGCAAGACCGGUGCCAGCCGCCGCGGUAAUACCGGCGGCUCGAGUGGUGGCCACUAUUAUUGGGCUUAAAGCGUCCGUAGCUGGACUGAUAAGUCUCUUGGGAAAUCCGCCGGCUUAACCGGCGGGCGUCUAAGAGAUACUNNNAGUCUAGGGACCGGGAGAGGUGAGAGGUACUCCGGGGGUAGGAGUGAAAUCCUGUAAUCCCUGGGGGACCACCGAUGGCGAAGGCAUCUCACCAGAACGGCNNNGACAGUGAGGGACGAAAGCUGGGGGAGCGAACCGGAUUAGAUACCCGGGUAGUCCCAGCCGUAAACUAUGCGCGNUAGGUGUACCGGUGACCACGAGUCNC
Molecule: ribosomal RNA, 463 nt
Filed under: uncultured bacterium
Lineage: Bacteria
Description: bacterial SSU rRNA
Rfam family: Archaeal small subunit ribosomal RNA
Source: RNAcentral